AGCGAACGCUGGCGGCAGGCCUAACACAUGCCAGUCGAACGAACCUUUCGGGGUUAGUGGCGGACGGGUGAGUAACACGUGGGAACGUGCCUUUAGGUUCGGAAUAACUCAGGGAAACUUGUGCUAAUACCGAAUGUGCCCUUCGGGGGAAAGAUUAAUCGCCUUUAGAGCGGCCCGCGUCUGAUUAGCUAGUUGGUUGAGGUAAUGGCUCACCAAGGCGACGAUCAGUAGCUGGUCUGAGAGGAUGAUCAGCCACAUUGGGACUGGGACACGGCCCAAACUCCUACGGGAGGCAGCAGUGGGGAAUCUUGCGCAAUGGGCGAAAGCCUGACGCAGCCAUGCCGGGUGAAUGAUGAAGGUCUUAGGAUUGUAAAAUUCUUUCACCGGGGACGAUAAUGACGGUACCCGGAGAAGAAGCCCCGGCUAACUUCGUG
RNAcentral lists this ribosomal RNA (434 nucleotides) under uncultured bacterium. RNAcentral describes it as "partial 16S ribosomal RNA". It matches the Rfam family "Bacterial small subunit ribosomal RNA", at positions 29 to 507 of the family's 1533-position model. The record is from RNAcentral.